Molecule: ribosomal RNA, 433 nt
Filed under: uncultured bacterium
Lineage: Bacteria
Description: partial 16S ribosomal RNA
Rfam family: Bacterial small subunit ribosomal RNA
Source: RNAcentral
AACGAACGCUGGCGGCAUGCCUAACACAUGCAAGUCGAACGAGACCUUCGGGUCUAGUGGCGCACGGGUGCGUAACGCGUGGGAACCUGCCCUUAGGUUCGGAAUAACUCCCCGAAAGGGGUGCUAAUACCGGAUAAUGUCUUCGGACCAAAGAUUUAUCGCCUUUGGAUGGGCCCGCGUUGGAUUAGCUAGUUGGUAGGGUAAAAGCCUACCAAGGCGACGAUCCAUAGCUGGUCUGAGAGGAUGAUCAGCCACACUGGGACUGAGACACGGCCCAGACUCCUACGGGAGGCAGCAGUGGGGAAUAUUGUACAAUGGGCGCAAGCCUGAUCCAGCAAUGCCGCGUGAGUGAUGAAGGCCUUAGGGUUGUAAAGCUCUUUUACCCGGGAUGAUAAUGACAGUACCGGGAGAAUAAGCUCCGGCUAACUCCGUG